UCUGGCGGCAGUAGCGCGGUGGUCCCACCUGACCCCAUGCCGAACUCAGAAGUGAAACGCCGUAGCGCCGAUGGUAGUGUGGGGUCUCCCCAUGCGAGAGUAGGGAACUGCCAAAC
Molecule: ribosomal RNA, 116 nt
Filed under: Escherichia coli
Lineage: Bacteria; Pseudomonadati; Pseudomonadota; Gammaproteobacteria; Enterobacterales; Enterobacteriaceae
Also listed under: 1 other name
Source: RNAcentral